CAAUAACCUAAUCAGUGAUCACAAUCAAAAUGGAUUAAUUAAAAGCGAAACAAAAACAAAAAAAAGGGUUGGGUUCAUACGGUUACUUAAUCCAUGGACAGAAACCAAAUGAGAGGGAAAAUUAAUAAGGAGAACAUUUUUUUCCCCUUUUUGUUUACUCACCAAUUCACUUAAUCGGAUUAUCCCGGGAAUCGUUUUAAAGUAUUGACAGUUUACCUUUAAUUGUGUUAAAUUUAAUUUCUUAAAAAGGAUAUGUUGUUUUCUGUUCCGUUGUUUAUGUUCAAUAGGAAGUUGAUUAUCUCCAUUAAUUGGCUUGGUGUUUUUUUCUUCUCUGUUAAUUACUUUUCUCUUUGGAUUUUGUUGCAAAUCUCUUAACCCACUCUCUCAGAUGAUUUAGAUUAUUAAUCGGAUGUGGAUUAAUGGUUUACCAUUUAGAUUAUAAUCUUAAUUGUUCUCAAGCUUCUACUACUUUGUAGCUGAUUAACUGGGAUCAUCAACUUUCGCCUGAUUUAACAAUCAACCUAAAUUUGGUUCAAUUUUUGUUUUCGCCUGUUUGGUUUAUUCAAAUGGAUUUACAAUCAUUUUAAUCCAACAAAUUAACACUCGUUUGGGUUAAUUUAGUAACAAUGAAACCAGAUUAUGGAUACUGUUGAUAUUGAUUGUAUCUAAUUAUAAUCUAUACUCUUGUUUACCAAAAAAAAAGUGAAAAGGAUCCAAGGAUGCUGAUAAGAUGAUACAGAUUAGAAGAUGUUACUCAUUCUUUCGUUAAUCUUAUCCAGAUUAAUUGUAUUUGGAUUGUAAUUUGUGUGUGUGUGGAUAGAGAGAAACAAGGCCAAGUUCAGAUUCAUCCGAAUCACAAUUAACUUAAAUUGUUUUAGGAAAAACAAUUUCAACUAAUUAGCAAGCAGCUUUUGGUUUACCCUGAAACAUUUGGAGAUGGACAAGAAUGAGAGAUAUUCAAAAUUUUUCCUUCUAAUUCUGAACAUUCUGAACGAUUAGUGAAUCUUUCCCGAACAAUGCCGACAAAACCGCUUAUUCACUUAACCUUCACUGAGAAAGUCGAAAGAUGUAAAAAUGAUUGACUCUGGAUUGGAAAAGAUUGGAAUUGAUUGUGAUGGUUAAUCAAAGUGAAAAUGGUCUAAUUUUGGGUGGAAAAUAAGUUCAAUAUUCAAAUGAGUGAAAUAGAAUCGAGGUCAAUCAAAGGAUUAUUCAUAAAGAAAACAAUACAUGGACUGAUUUCUGGACGGACAGUUGAUUUGAAUCAUCUUUACAUUGAAAAAUUAACAAUAAUCAAUAACUGUAAACUCGUUGUGUUAAUGAAAUGAUUAACAAUGAGGAGAUUCAGAGCUUCAAAAUCAUCAAAGUAAAUUGUUUUUUAUUUUGUUCGAAAUUGAUUCAAGUUAAUGAUUGUUGUUUUUGAUUGAUUAUUGAUGGUCAAUCAAGUUAUGAUUAUAAUGCACAAUCAUCAUGAAAGAAUUGGUUUUACUUUGGUUAACGAUAAUUGUCACAAUGAAUGGUCAAAUUAAUCUACAAUAGGGACGAUGGAAAUGAUGAUAAUCAAUAUUUCAAUUCGGUGAUAGCGAAAAGUACUAAUCAUAAGAAGACUAUUGAUGGAAACUAUUGUUAAUCAUGUUGAUGGAAUAAACAAUUGGAAAGACCAGCCCAAUUGACCCUGUUCAAUAUGAGAUGUAAAUUAGAAACACGAUUAGAUGAUGAUGAUUAUGAAUCUUAUUCUUCUUGGAAAACUCAUUUCUUCAAAUAAUUAUGAGAAGAUGAUGAUUUGUUUACCUGUAGAAAUCUGCAAUCUCACCAUUGUCCUAAAUCCAUGAACAAUAUGAGAAAACAAGAGAUUUAAUUUUCCAACAAAUAUUCCGAAAAAAAAAGAGUAACAAUAACAAUCAUCAGAUGACAAUUGAAUCAACUAAUGGAUUAUAAAUAUUACAUAAAGUUAUAGUCCAAGGAGAAUGAAAUUGCAAGCUGAUUACAUUAAGGAUAAGCGAUUUGACGAUGAGCGAAAUGAUUAAGAUGAUGAUUAUGAUUAAGAAUCAGAUAAUCAUCAGGUAAACCGAAUGAGCUGAAAAUGAUGAAAAACAAAAUACAACACGAAAGUUAUUCAGUUCACUAACUACGAAUUCUUCUAACCAUGCAACCUCUAAUUCUGAUUGGAAAAUGGCCUUAUAUUAUUAUCGAAACGAUAGAAUCACUUCAAUCUUCAUCUUCUCACUCUAAUCAUCACUUUCUCUCUUCUGUUGAUUACUUGUUUCGUCCUCAUCAUCAUCUUAAUUUUAUCAUUCUCUCUACUCAAUCUAAUAGCUACUCUUUAAUAACAACAACAACAACAACAUGGCUCAUCAAUUUGAUCAUUGGAACAUUUCUUAUUGAAACAACUCCAUUUUCGUAUUAAUCAAAUUUGUCCAAACGAUUAAGGUUGAUUCUAUUAUUAGUAAGUAUUAGUAGCGAUUAAUUAAAUUUGAUUGUCUGUAAAUUACAUUGAUUUUUUCAUCAUCCUGGACAAUUGGACUACAUUCAUUGAAUCUUAAUCACAAUUGAAAAGUUAGAUCAUUGUAUUUAAUGGUGACUAGUAUCAUUGUUGAUGCUUAAUUUGAUUCUAAAUUGUCUGUUAAUUUUUUCUCCAUCAUAUUUGUACAGCAAUUUGUUGAUUUAUUUCAACUAAUCGACUAUACAAUCUAAUUUUCUGGCCUUUUAUUGUCCAAUUUUUUUUCGCUUUUCUUAUAAUUGGUUUCAUAUCAUCAUGAUCGUUACAAUUGUUACAAUUAGAUUAAAUUUGAUUACAAAAUUUGUGAAAAUUAACAAUUGAUGAAGCAAUUUAACAUUAACAUUAUUGCAAAACUUUGAUCAAUGAGACUGAUGAUUAAAGCUAAUCAAAAUUGGACAAAUUAAGGCUGGACAAUCAAGAAAAGUAAUCACAAAUAACAAUUAUUAUUAGGUUGGCUUAAUUGUAAUCCCAUUUGAUCAUAAAUUGUACUACUACUACUCAGUGUUGACCAUGAAAAUUACAUGAACAAUUUAAAGUAUUAAUCAAAAAGCCAAUUGGAUGGAUUGUAAAGCCUUAAAGGAGAGGAAUUAAAUUUAAUCAUUACAACAAUAACCUAAACAAUCAACACCAAUAUUUUAAAUAGUAAAGGAGGACAAAUAUACAAAUUAAAAAAAGGCUUAAUUGUUGUGUAUUAUUAAAAGAUACACUUGACAACGGAAGAAAGGAAAGGAAACACCACAACAAUUAGAAUCACAAUUAAGCUAACCUCAUAUUGAAGCGGCAAAAAACUGACCUUUACCAAAGUAAUUAAUAAUUUAAGUGAUUGGAGUAAGAAAGAAAAACGGAUUUACCGGUUAAUUGUUGUAAUUAAGCUUAGUAUCAAUACUAGCGAGGUUAAUCAUUUAUAUUAAUCAUUUGUCCUUUAAUUAUGAAUGGACAUUAUUUGUUCAAGUGAUAAUAUUAUUAUUAAUUAACAUUAAUCACACAAUUAACCGUUGAGUGACCAAGUAAAAAUGUCAAAUGAUUAAAAGGUUGAUUAAAACGUGAUUAGAAUUAAAUUGUAAUGAUAUGUAAAUAUUGGGUUAAAUUGUCAACGGAAAACAGACCAAUUCCAGGUAAAUUAUUAUCACAAUUUAAUUGUGAUUAGAAUCAUUUUGAUUAACUUAUAAUUUGCUUUUUGUUCAAAUUGUUGGUUUUCAAUCAACAACUUCAAUAUGAUUGUGAUUAUCAUUUUGGAGAUGAUUAGUUGAUUAUACAAAACAAUGAAUCAAAUUAAGUUGAGACUGUUAAAUUGUGAAAAUUAUAUUCGUGAUUAACUAAACAAAUCAUAAUGAUAACAAUUUAAAAUUUAUCUCAUCUUUUUUACUUUCACGUUUAAUAUUUAAUUAAAAUUGAUUGUAAAUCAACAAAAGUGAUAUCAACAGAUUAACAAUCAAGUAAUAAACAAUAGUAAUCAAAUUGACAGGCAAUAAAUUACAAACAUGAUUACAAUUAGUAAAUUGUUGAUUAUUAAAUCAUCAUCAUGGUCAACUGAUUAACUGAUUACAAUUAACUUCAUCAUUUUUUUUUCAAACAUUUGAUUAACUUUGACCUAAACUUUAAUCAUUUGAGUGUUAAAUUGUUAACAAUUUGAUGAGCCUUUUACUUUCACCUUGAUUGUCAAUCUGAUUGAUUUUAAUUCAAUUUCAUUUUUAAUUGUUUCUCACUUAUUGACAAUUUAAAGUUUCUAUUAUUCGAGUGUUUUAUGAUUAAGACAAUGAUUAGAAUUGAUUGUCACUAACAAAAUGU
Long non-coding RNA from Panonychus citri (citrus red mite), 4285 nucleotides. RefSeq lists it as uncharacterized. The transcript is spliced from 8 exons. The record is from RefSeq and is a predicted model, not a curated record. Lineage: Eukaryota; Metazoa; Arthropoda; Arachnida; Trombidiformes; Tetranychidae.